RNAcentral lists this ribosomal RNA (440 nucleotides) under uncultured bacterium. RNAcentral describes it as "bacterial SSU rRNA". It matches the Rfam family "Bacterial small subunit ribosomal RNA", at positions 339 to 794 of the family's 1533-position model. The record is from RNAcentral.
UUACGGGAGGCAGCAGUAAGGGAUAUUGCACAAUGGGCGCAAGCCUGAUGCAGCAACGCCGCGUGCCCGAUGAAGGCCUUCGGGUCGUAAAGGGCUUUUCUGACCGAAGAGACAAGGACAGUAAGUCAGGAAUAAGUGUCGGCUAACUACGUGCCAGCAGCCGCGGUAAAACGUAGGACGCAAGCGUUAUCCGGAGUUACUGGGCGUAAAGCGCGGGCAGGCGGCCUGUAAAGUCUGAUGUGAAAGCGCCCGGCUCAACCGGGCGAGGCCAUUGGAAACUAGCAGGCUGGAGGGCAGUAGAGGCAGGCGGAAUUCCGGGUGGAGUGGUGAAAUGCGUAGAGAUCCGGAGGAACACCAGAGGCGAAGGCGGCCUGCUGGGCUGCACCUGACGCUGAGCCGCGAAAGCCAGGGGAGCGAACGGGAUUAGAUACCCCGGUAGC